RNAcentral lists this ribosomal RNA (490 nucleotides) under uncultured bacterium. Its description in RNAcentral is "partial 16S ribosomal RNA". It matches the Rfam family "Bacterial small subunit ribosomal RNA", at positions 30 to 507 of the family's 1533-position model. The record is from RNAcentral.
AUUGAACGCUGGCGGCAGGCCUAACACAUGCAAGUCGAACGGUAACAGGAAGAAGCUUGCUUCUUUGCUGACGAGUGGCGGACGGGUGAGUAAUGUCUGGGAAACUGCCUGAUGGAGGGGGAUAACUACUGGAAACGGUAGCUAAUACCGCAUAACGUCGCAAGACCAAAGAGGGGGACCUUCGGGCCUCUUGCCAUCGGAUGUGCCCAGAUGGGAUUAGCUAGUAGGUGGGGUAACGGCUCACCUAGGCGACGAUCCCUAGCUGGUCUGAGAGGAUGACCAGCCACACUGGAACUGAGACACGGUCCAGACGCCUACGGGAGGGAGCAGUGGGGAAUAUUGGACAGUGGGCGCGAGCCUGAUGCAGCCAUGCCGCGUGUAUGAAGAAGGCCUUCGGGUUGUAAAGUACGUUCAGCGGGGAGGAAGGGAGUAAAGUUAAUACCUUUGCUCAUUGACGUUACCCGCAGAAGAAGCACCGGCUAACUACGUG